This 74-nucleotide transfer RNA is filed under the name Pelodiscus sinensis (Chinese soft-shelled turtle). It matches the Rfam family "tRNA". Rfam says of the family: Transfer RNA (tRNA) molecules are approximately 80 nucleotides in length. Their secondary structure includes four short double-helical elements and three loops (D, anti-codon, and T loops). The record is from Rfam by way of RNAcentral. Lineage: Eukaryota; Metazoa; Chordata; Testudines; Trionychidae. RNAcentral also lists the same sequence under 1 other name.
GGCCGGCUAGCUCAGCUGGUUAGAGCGUGGUGCUAAUAACACCAAGGUCGUGGGUUCAAGCCCCAUGCUGGCCA